This 328-nucleotide ribosomal RNA is filed under the name uncultured eukaryote. RNAcentral's name for it is "partial 18S ribosomal RNA". It matches the Rfam family "Eukaryotic small subunit ribosomal RNA", at positions 1470 to 1796 of the family's 1831-position model. The record is from RNAcentral.
CCCUUAGAUGUUCUGGGCCGCACGCGCGCUACACUGAUGAAUUCAACGAGCUCCUAACCUAGGCCGAAGGGUCCGGGUAAUCUUUGAAAUUUCAUCGUGAUGGGGAUAGAUUAUUGCAAUUAUUAAUCUUCAACGAGGAAUUCCUAGUAAACGCAAGUCAUCAGCUUGCAUUGAUUACGUCCCUGCCCUUUGUACACACCGCCCGUCGCACCUACCGAUUGAAUGGUCCGGUGAAAUCUUCGGAUCUGAGAGAUGUCUGAUUAAUUUCGGACGCCUUUUGGAAAAGUUGCUGAAACCUUACCAUUUAGAGGAAGGUGAAGUCGUAACA